GCCGCUGGUCGCGACCCGGGACAGGACAACGACAGGAACACCGCCGAGCCCGCGUUCCCCCCCUGCCCAGAGUCAUGGCGGCAGCAGCCGCUCUGAGGGCCCCUGCUCAGAGCAGUGUGACCUUUGAAGAUGUGGCUGUAAACUUUUCCCUGGAGGAAUGGAGUCUUCUUAAUGAGGCUCAGAGAUGCCUGUACCGUGACGUGAUGCUGGAGACCUUGACACUUAUAUCCUCCCUGGGUUGUUGGCAUGGAGGGGAAGAUGAGGCAGCACCUUCUAAGCAGAGCACGUGUAUACAUAUAUACAAAGACCAGGGAGGUCAUAGUGGAGAAAGGCCUUAUGAGUGUGGGGAAUAUAGGAAAUUAUUUAAGAACAAGUCCUGCCUCACUGAACCCAGAAGAGAUCACAAACACAGGAAUGUUCGCACUGGAGAAAGGCCUUAUGAGUGCAGCAAAUAUGGGAAAUUAUUUCACCAAAAGCCUACACUCCAUAUUCAUGAGAGAUUUCAUACUGGGCAAAAGACCUAUGAGUGUAGUGAGUGUGGAAAAUCAUUUCACCAAAGCUCUUCACUCUUGCAGCGUCAGACACUUCACACUAGAGAAAGGCCUUAUGAGUGUAUUGAAUGUGGGAAAGCCUUUGCUGAAAAGUCCAGUCUCAUUAACCACAGGAAAGUUCACUCUGGAGCAAAGCGUUAUGAAUGCAAUGAAUGUGGGAAGUCCUUUGCUUAUACAUCUAGUCUCAUUAAACACAGGAGGAUUCACACUGGAGAGAGGCCUUAUGAAUGCAGUGAAUGUGGGAGAUCCUUUGCUGAAAACUCCAGUCUUAUUAAACACUUGAGAGUUCACACAGGAGAAAGGCCUUAUGAAUGCGUUGAGUGUGGAAAAUCAUUUCGCCGAAGCUCUUCACUCUUGCAGCAUCAGAGAGUUCACACUAGAGAAAGGCCUUAUGAAUGUAGUGAAUGUGGGAAAUCCUUUAGCUUAAGGUCCAACCUCAUUCACCAUCAGCGAGUUCAUACUGGAGAAAGGCAUGAGUGUGGGCAGUGUGGGAAAUCCUUUAGCCGAAAAUCUAGCCUUAUUAUACAUCUGAGAGUUCACACUGGAGAAAGGCCUUAUGAGUGCAGUGACUGUGGGAAAUCCUUUGCUGAAAACUCCAGCCUUAUUAAACACUUGAGAGUUCACACUGGAGAAAGGCCAUAUGAAUGCAUUGAGUGUGGAAAAUCAUUUCGCCACAGUUCUUCGUUCCGUCGCCAUCAGAGAGUUCAUACUGGAAUGAGGCCUUAUAAGUGAAGCAAAUUUUGGAAAUUCUCUUGCCCAGGCUUUUUGCUCCUUCAAGGCCAGAGAGUUCAUACCGGAUCAAGGUGUUAUGAGUGUGACAAAUGGGGAAUAUUCUUUAGCUAGAACGCUAGCUUCUUUACAUAAAAGAGUGCUCCCACUGAAGAAGUGCCUUUUGAGUGCAAUGAAUGUGAGAAAGCCUUCAGCCCUCUCUCAUUGGUUACCACAAUAUUUACAUGAGGAAAAUACCACAGAUGUGGAGGUAAUAUUAUUUUUUCUUCAGUAUAACACUGGAGGAAACCCCUUAUGAGGAUGUCAUCUGCCUAAAUUGAAUGUCAUACAUCAAAUAGCUGCAUACAUUCCAGAGCAGUGUGACCUUUGAAGACGUGGCUGUAAACUUUUCCCUGGAGGAAUGGAGUCUUCUUAAUGAGGCUCAGGGAUGCCUGUACCAUGAUGUGAUGCUGGAGACCCUGACACUUAUAUCCUCCCUGGAAAGGGUGCACUCGCCAGCAGUUUUGCAACAGGAGCACACUGAACAAAGAAGACAGGGUCAUUUAUAACCUGAGGCGUUCACCCUCCUGCCGGUUUCCAUUGCCUGGAACAGGACCUCAUAUUCUGUAUGUGUCCUGAUUGGCUAGCAACUUAGAACCUUUUAAAAGAGGCAAAGGUAGAGGAGAACAAAGAAAGGAGGAAGUAACUUGUGGAAUGCUGAGAAAGGUAAAAACACUUUUAAAUAAGGAAGAGGAACAGGCUAUGACCUAAUGCUUGCUUGGAGCAGUAUAAGCAUGUCAGGGCAAAUAUUUAGGCUAAAUUGUCAGAGCUAAGAACAUAAAGUACAUUGAUUUCUUUAUUAUGGCUAGCAGAUAUUUAAGAAUGCUAGCACAAGUCUUUCAAUAAAUUUCGCUUUUAAGAGAAGUUACUAUUUAUUCCUAAUUAGAUGGGGAGGAAAGUCUUUGAAGAGGAACCUGUACUUUACUUUUAACAAUAUUCCCCCUCUUUUUAUUUCAUAAUUCCUCUUCAAACUUAUUUAAUGUUUUGACUUAAUUGCUUUUUUUGUCCUUCUAAGAGAAGUAAUUUUUUUUUGAAUAGGGAGGAGGAGAGUUAGCAGUUAACUCUGUAACAGUGGCAGAGACAAGUUUUUGUAUAAAACUUUGAAGGUAGGGAAUAUUAUAACAGCCUACAAGAAUAAGUACACUAAUAACAAGAGUGAACAAGGUGAGAAUUGAAGUUAAAAUUUCUUUUUAUUCACUGAACUAAUGUUUUAUUAUUUUAGAAAAGGGGUUAUUUAUUUUACAAUUCUUGGCAAAUUUAUCAGAUAGGGCUGUUAACCUUGGUAGCGCUUUUGUUAUAGUUCUAUCAGGGGCAGUAUUAUUAGGAACAAAGGUACAAUACUGAGUUUUGUAUUAAACAUUUAAUUUAUUGGUCUUUGUGGGGAAUUAGACGCAUUACCACUCUGUUACAACUGAGGCAUUAAUUUUGUAGCUUCACCAACAUUAAUUGGUUUGCUUUCAUGACACUGAGGAAUCAAUUCUUUCUGCAGAGGUUCUGAGUUUUAAUUAUGACACAAACAUCUCCUUUUUCUGCUAAUUAUUUAAAGCUAUUUUAUUUUUCUACGCCAUCUGGCUAGUAGAUCCUAAUUGCUUAGCUAUCUGUUUGAUGGUAUCCUCAGUGUAAUUUAUGAAUUGUUGGUGAUUGUAACAUAGCUUAGUCUACAUUUUUUUAUAGUUACCAGAAUGAUGUGGAUUUAAAUUCUGCAGCUAUUUGAUUUUGUGCUUUAAACUUAUCGGGCACUUCUCACAGGACCUUAAUAGCAUUUAUGUAAACCUGAGGAUUAAAGGACUCAUACGUUUUUCUUGGCCUGUGGUGUUUUGUUUUUACCUUUGUAGAUUGAUGAAAUGCCAGGAUGAAGGGGAUACCCAAUUGGAUUACAGCACAAGUACUGCUCCAGUUAUUUGGCAGAGUGUCCAGUAAAGGUCUUCCACUUACCACUAUACAUUUGUUUGGGGAUGGCUAAGCAUGGACUGAUGGGCAAGGUCUUGGAAAGGCUUGAGCUCUUUGCAUCGUUUAAUGCUUCCAAGGAACACUAAAUUUUCCUCCUGACCUGAGAUGCACAAAGUAAACUUUGUGCAUUCAGCAUUCAGCAUUCAGAGGUGGAAGCCGGAUUGCCGUAGGGGGCUGACCUGCAGGGUGUUAAAUUUCAGGAAAUAGCAGAGAGAGCUCAGUAUGUUGGAUUAUCCCAAGCAGUGGGAUUUGGAAAAGAGCCACCAUACAGUCCUUAUCUGAGUGGAAAGGGGAUAAUCUGGGAUUCUGGCCUACUGUGCGUACAAGUGUAAUAAUCGCUUUUAUUUGAAGUGCUAAUGGAUUAUUUAAUCCAUUUCAGCCAGGCAUUUGCAUCUUGAUAUUUUGUCUUGACAGCGAAGGUCUGUCUUAGAUCUCUUAUUUUUACAAGACACCUUAGUUUUACCAGAUGUAGGAGCAACUGGUGUGGGAUCUAGAUCUGAGGCAACUUAAGAAGGGAAAGAUGAGGGAAUAAUGUGUAUUUUUAAAAUAACUGGGGGGUCUUUUUUAUUUAUGUUAAUUUUUUUUUUUUUUUUUUUUUGAGACAGAGUCUAGCUCCGUCACCCAGGCUACAGUGCAGUGGCACGAUGUCAGCUCACUGCAACCUCUGCCUCCCGGGUUCAAGCAAUUCUCCUGCCUCCGCCUCCCAAGUAGCUAGGAUUACAGGCACCCACCUCCGCGCCCAGCUAAUUUUUGUAUUUUUAGUAGAGACGGGGUUUCACCAUCUUGCCCAGGCUGGUCUCAAACUCCUGACCUCAGGUGAUCCACCAGCCUCGGCCUCCCAAAGUGCUGGGAUUACAAUCAUGAGCCACCACGCCCAGCCUACUUAUGUUAAUUUUUAUACCAUAGAAGCGACUAAGGGUGUGUCUAGAGUUCGUUAAGGUGGAGGUGGUGAUAAAGAGAAAGACAGGGUUAUAUUGACAAGGCUGACAGUAAGAAGGGGUAGUCCUUUUAAUGAAAUAGAUGAGGGGUUUUAGGUCUGCACAAACCUUUUUGUGGAAGUCUAACUUUGCUAUUGGGUAGUUUGAGUGAUGCAGUACUAUUUACUACAAUGUUGCCAGGUGGUAGGAGCAGAAAAUUGGUGUCUUGGCUGCAGGUCAUUACAACAAUGAGUGCUAGGAAUAACUGUGUCAAUUAAAGGGCUGGGAUAUAAAUAUUUGUGUGAAAAGGCUAGCUGCUGUUGAUCUUUUACAUUUCUACAAGGUAUGACAAAGCAAGCAUUAAAGGCAAUAGUCUGAGUGAGUCAGACUUAGUUACAUUAAUAACAAAGGAGCUAAUAACAGAAUAAGAAAAGGAAGCAAUAUAGAAGGUAUAUGAAAAUUAAUCUUUCUUUAACUUAGUAGGGCUUGAUCCUAGUACAGUAACCCAUGAUUCUGAGAGGAAGAUGUUUUCUUGACUUGAGUAUGGUGGGUCCAUUUUUUUUUUUCCUCAGCUGUGUGGACGGCAGUCUCAGGGGUUAACAGAAUAAAAUAGGGUUCUUCCCAGGCUGGUUUGAGUUUUUUCUUUCUAGCUUUUGAUGAGGACAUGGUUUUCAGGCUGGUGCUGGUGUACUGGAAAUUCUAGGGGUGGUACCUGUGCUAAAAGACUUUUAGGUCCGAGGGAAGUGAAAGUGGAAGAUAAAUUAAGUAUAGGAUUUUUGCUGCAUAUUCUGGGGCCUUAGGCCUCAUGGUGACACCUCCUGCUCCAUUCUUGUUCAGCGCCACCCAGGGGAGGCUGCAGCCCUGCCCCUUCUUAAUGUCUUGGCCUUCUUGUGGCCUUCACCACCCUUGCUCACUGUGGCCUUCAGGAUGAGGGGCCUUGUGACUUACCUGGCCAUCUUAGGGCCUUAAGAAAGCUAAAUACCAUUGUAUAUUUGUCAAUUUUUUUGUAUGAUUUUUAUAUCAAAUAAGUUAAAUUUUAUCUUUAGUGGCCAGGCGCGGUGGCUCACGUCUGUAAUCCCAGCACUUUGGGAGGCUGAGGCGGGUGGAUCACCUGAUGUCAGGAGUUCGAGACAAGCCUGGCCAACAUGGUGAAAUCCCGCCUCUACUAAAACUAAAAAGUAAAUAAAUAAAUAAAUUUAUCUUUAUAUUAAUAUGCUACUAAUGUUAAACUUAAUUUUAGUAAGAUCUUAUAGACAUUAUUUAUCUAAUUUUAAUGUCUGACUAUAAGGCAAGACUUUUAGACUCUUUUUAUAAUUUUUGUUAAAGAGCACGUUGGUGCUUUAAGAAAAAUCUAUCGUGCUUUAAUUUUAACGUCCAGUUCACAGAAAAACUGGAUGACACCCUUUUAACUUUAGCCAAUAUGUUUACACACAGAAUUUGAUACCCUCUUAACUUUAGCCAGUAUGUUUACACACAGAAUUUCCUUGACAAUUAACAUUUUAAAACUUGCUUAAACCUUUAAAACAAAAAAAUUGUCUUAACCUUUAGUGUAGGUAAAAAUCCAUAUUCUUAUGCCUCCUUGUAAUCUUAUUAAAAGUAUAUUUUAUUUUUCUUACAUACCUUGUAAACUGUUUAAUAAUAAUUUUACAUCCAGGAGGCCUAAUUACUUUUAAAUUAUACAGUAUUUAUUGCAUACAUUCCCUUUUAUAGCUUUUCUUACGACUUUCACAAUCUUCAACAUGUCUUAACUUUCUGCCUUCCUUUUACACUAUUUUUUUCCUCGUUUCACCUCCUUUGUCUUCUUUUGAUUUCUGUCUCUUCCAGUUUCUCUCUUACUCUUUCCUUCUAUUUCUUUCUCUCAUUUGCACUCUAUUUUCCGCUCUCUCAUCCCGUUUCCCUUUCUUCCCCGGACUUCUCCCGCUCCUGCCGCAAGCAGGGCUGGGCCACCGCACAGGCCCCGCCCCCGACCCCGCGCUGCUGUUUUUCUUUUUUUCCCCCUGAUUUCCCCUCUUACUUUUUUUUUUUUUUUUCCUUUUCCUUUUACACUUAGUUUCUUGGGCUGAGUGGGAUUUGCGUGGCUGCAGUCUGGGCCCCGGGCAGUCACUAGCCUAGAGGCUUGGCAGAUAUGCCUGCUGCAAAUUGCAAGAAUUACGCCUUUUCACCUCCUCUGCUCUCCUCCCGGAGCCGGUGCCCACCCUCUUUUUCACAAACCGCAGGGCUGGGGAGAGGGACUUAACCUUUGGCCUGCCUGCCUGGCUGUUUGGCUCUGUGCUUGCUGUUUUUGGUUUCUUUCUCUUCUACUGGUCUUUCCUUUGUCAUUGCCAGCCACCUAUGCUGCUGUUUUCUCCUCUGCUUCCCUCUCCCCUAGGGGAGGGACCGGCAGGAGUGGAGCUACUGUUUCUUUCCCUGAGAAGAAAGGAAAGGGGAGUUCUGAAUAUUUUUCUUACUACUGGAGGUUUGUGUGAGGUUCAACCCCCCCCCCCCCAACAAUAGGGAUUUCUCACCUCUAAGACAUCCUAAGGAAUACUUUACCACCCCUGCGGUUUUUCUCUUUGGUAUGUCCUAACCAAGGAAUGCUUUACCAUCCCGGCUUUUUCCUUAGUCCCGACCACCAAGGAAAUACUUUACCGGCUCCUGCGGCUUCUCCUUCCUUGGUCGGUGCACAGUUGUCAUUCCAUUACAUGAGGAUCUUUAAGCUAGGUUGCUGGCCAGUUUUUUUUUUGCCCCCAUUGCUGAGAGUCCAGGUUUAUUCGUCACACCGGGUGGGUCUCAAUUUCUUACCUAUGAGGACCUUGCAAUGAAGUAGGGGAGCGCUACCCCAUGAGAGAGGACUGGAGACCGCCCCCAGAGAAGAAUGUAUCCCCGUACGGAUUGCCACCAAAUUGUUUGAAAUGCUUGUUCUCCGGUGCCAUAAAGAAAUAGCACUUGAACAUAAAUUUAUUUAGUAAGGCCAUUUUUACUUCCUGCAGAAAGGGUACACUCAGCCAGCAGUUUUGGCACGAGAGUACACAACUAAGGAUAUAGGGUCAUUUAUAACCUGACGCGUCCACCCUACUGCUGUGUCCGGUUUCCACUGGCUGGGAUGGGGCCUCACAUUCUGUAUUUGUCCCGACUGGCGAGCAACUUAGAACUUUUUUUUUUUUUUUUUUUUUGAUGGAGUCUCACUCUGUCGCCCAGGCUGGAGUGCAGUGGCAGGUUCUCAGCUUACUGCAAGCUCCACCUCCCGGGUUCACGCCAUUCUUCUGCUUCAGCCUCCCAAGUAGCUGGGACUACAGGCUCCUGCCACUGCCUGGCUAAUUUUUUGUAUUUUUCCUAGAGACGGGGUUUCAUGUGUUAGCCACAUGGUCUUGAUAUCCUGACCUCUUUACCCGCCCGCCUUGGCCUCCCAAAGUGCUGGGAUUACAGGCGUGAGCCACCACCCCCCACCACCGCCCAGCCAAUUUAGAACCUUUUAAAAGAAGCAAAGGUAGAUGAGAACAAAGGAAGGAGGAAGUAACUUGUGGAAUGCUGAGAAAGGUGAAAACACUUUUAAAUAAGGAAGAGGAACAGGCUAUGACCUAAUGCUUGCUUGGACCAGUAUAAGCAUGCCAAGGCAAAUAUUUAGGCUAAAUUGUGGGAGCUAAGAACAUAAAGUACGUUGAUUUCUUUAUGACGGCUAGCAGAUAUUUAAGAAUGUUAGCACAGGUCUUUGAAUAAAUUUUGCUUAUAAGAGAAGUUACCAUUUAUUCCUAAUUAGGGAGGAAAGUCUUUGAAAAGGAACUUCUACUUUACUUUUUACAGUUACUAUGAGGAUCACUAUAUCAAUGUUUCUUAAUUCAUAUGCUAAAGUGCACUCAAUUUUUUUUUUUUUUUUUGAGACGGAGUCUCGCUUUGUCGCCCAGGCUGGAGUGCAGUGGCGCGAUCGCCAAUUGCCGCUCAAUGCAAGCUCUGCCUCCUGGGUUCACGCCAUUCUCCUGCCUCAGUCUCUGGAUUAGCUGAAACUACAGGCACCCACCACCACGCCUGGCUAAUUUUUUGUAUUUUCCCUAUAGAAGGCGUUUCUCCAUGUUAGGAUUAUCUCGAUCUCCCGACGUCGUGAUCCGCCUGCCUCGGCCUCCCAAAGUGCUGGGUUUACAGGCAUGAGCCACCACGCCCUGCCCUCAAUUUCUUUUUUCACAUUGACAUCUAUCUCAAAGGAAGAGCAACUUAACCAAUGUCUUUGUGGUACACAUCAGUGGCUACAACUUUCACAAUUACAGCACAGAUAAAAAAGGCCAUCUGAAUGACAGCAUAAACAUGGCAUCUGAGCUCCAAAAUUUCAUCUCCUUACAAGAAAGUGGUUAUUAUUUUCCAGUGACUGCAGGAAUAGUUUCACACUGGGUACUGGGAUUAUCUCAGAAUAAAUGUUUUUGUUUUAUUUUUUUUGAGACAGCGUCUAACUGUCGCCUAGGCUGGAGUGCAGUGGUGUGAUCUCAGCUCACUGCAACCUCUGUUGCCUGGGUUCAAGUGAUUCUCCUGCCUCAGCCUCCUGAGUAGCUGGGAUUACAGGCAUGUGCCACCACGCCUGGCUAAUUUUUGUAUUUUUAGUAGAGAUGGCGUUUCACUAUGUUGGCCAGGCUGGUCUCAAACUCCUGACCUCAAGUGAUCCACCCACCUUGGCCUCCCAAAGUGCUGGGAUUACAGGCGUGAGCCACCACGCCUGGCCUCAGAAUCAAUUACAGGCGCAGUGGCUCACGACUCAGGCCUGUAAUCCCAGCACUUUGGGAGUCCAAGGCAGGCAGAUCAUUUGAGGCCAGGAGUCUGAGAUGAACCUGGUAACACGGCAAAACCCCAUCUCUUCUAAAAAUCAAAAAACAGCCAGCAUGGUGGCUCACGCAUGUAAUCCCAGCUAUGUGGGAGGCUCAGGUGGGAGAAUCGCUUGAACCUGGGAGGUAGAGGUUGCAAUGAGCCAAAAUCACGCCACUGCACUCCAACCUGGUCGACAGUCUUUAAAAAAAAAAAAAAAAGCAGCCGCA
Molecule: RNA transcript, 9180 nt
Organism: Gorilla gorilla gorilla (western lowland gorilla)
Lineage: Eukaryota; Metazoa; Chordata; Mammalia; Primates; Hominidae
Gene: ZNF586
Gene name: zinc finger protein 586
Exons: 5
Source: RefSeq, a predicted model, not a curated record